GAUGAACGCUGGCGGCGUGCUUAACACAUGCAAGUCGAGCGAGUGAGUUCUUCGGAACAAUCUAGCGGCGGACGGGUGAGUAACACGUGGCAACCUGCCUCAUAGAGGGGAAUAGCCUCCCGAAAGGGAGAUUAAUACCGCAUAAAAUUAUCGAGUGGCAUCACAUGAUAAUCAAAGGAGUAAUCCGCUAUGAGAUGGGCCCGCGGCGCAUUAGCUAGUUGGUGAGGUAACGGCUCACCAAGGCGACGAUGCGUAGCCGACCUGAGAGGGUGAUCGGCCACAUUGGGACUGAGACACGGCCCAGACUCCUACGGGAGGCAGCAGUGGGGAAUAUUGCACAAUGGGGGAAACCCUGAUGCAGCAACGCCGCGUGAGUGAUGAAGGACUUCGGAUUGUAAAGCUCUGUCUUUGGGGACGAUAAUGACGGUACCCAAGGAGGAAGCCACGGCUAACUACGUGCCAGCCGCCGCGGUAA
Molecule: ribosomal RNA, 475 nt
Filed under: uncultured bacterium
Lineage: Bacteria
Description: partial 16S ribosomal RNA
Rfam family: Bacterial small subunit ribosomal RNA
Source: RNAcentral